This 253-nucleotide ribosomal RNA is filed under the name uncultured bacterium. RNAcentral's name for it is "partial 16S ribosomal RNA". It matches the Rfam family "Bacterial small subunit ribosomal RNA", at positions 524 to 776 of the family's 1533-position model. The record is from RNAcentral.
GACAUAGGGGGCAAGCGUUGCUCGGAAUUACUGGGCGUAAAGGGCGCGUAGGCGGGAUGGCAAGUCGGUCGUGAAAUCCCUCGGCUCAACCGAGGAACGUCGAUCGAUACUGCUGUUCUUGAGGAUUGCAGAGGAGACUGGAAUUCCCGGUGUAGCGGUGAAAUGUGUAGAGAUCGGGAGGAACACCGGUGGCGAAGGCGGGUCUCUGGGCAAUUCCUGACGCUGAGGCGCGAAAGCGUGGGGAGCAAACGGG